Suricata suricatta (meerkat) is the source of this 103-nucleotide small nuclear RNA. The record is from Ensembl. NCBI's taxonomy places the organism in Eukaryota, Metazoa, Chordata, Mammalia, Carnivora, Herpestidae.
GUGCUCUCUUCGGCAGUACCUGUACUAAAAUUCGAAUGACACAAGAUUAGCAUGGCCCCUGUACAAGGACACCAUGCAAAGUCAUGAAGCAUUCCCUAUUUUU